This 30-nucleotide non-coding RNA is filed under the name Mus musculus (house mouse). The record is from RNAcentral. Lineage: Eukaryota; Metazoa; Chordata; Mammalia; Rodentia; Muridae.
UGGGUGAACAGCAUUCACUAGAGGUAGCCU